This 649-nucleotide long non-coding RNA is filed under the name Helianthus annuus (common sunflower). RNAcentral's name for it is "hypothetical non coding rna". Lineage: Eukaryota; Viridiplantae; Streptophyta; Magnoliopsida; Asterales; Asteraceae. The record is from RNAcentral.
UGAUGUUGGUGUCGAUGCAAGCCAAAGGCCAAGAAGGGUUUCUCAUGAUGAUGAAAUGUUGAAGAAUUGAAGCAAAAUCCAGCCUUAAUUCUCUUGCAUGUGUAGAGAUUCUACAUCAAAAAGCUAUAUGAAACAUGUGGAACGUGUCAAGGAGAGCUCAAGCAUAGGAGGAUAACGGGUCAAGAUAAGGCAAGGUGACAAAUACACUUAUUGGAGUACUCAAGGUUAUGAAUGUCGGACUUUCGAAGUGUUGAUAUAAUAAUGAAACGGUUGAAUGUUGAAAGGAUAAUCGGAUUGAAGUAACUUAUGCGGUUAGAAUAUGCUAUGGACGUUUUAGUUUAUACAACAUUUUAUGUUUGGUCAUCAUCAUCUACCAACGGGUAAAUCCUCAAUUUAGGCGACUUGGAGAAUCGGAGCGAGCGCGUGUUCAUGUUAUGUCAUACUAAACGCUUCCGCUAGCCUGUUCAAAUGUUUUUAGUCCAAAAUUUGUUGUUUUGGUUCUUAGUAGUAUUUUGUCGAAUGAAUCGUAGAAUUGUAUCUAGUUUGUUUAUGUUUAAAACAGGGGUAUGCUCGUUUUAUGGACGGGUCAUGUCCGAUUUUUGUUAAAUUAUAGUAUGAUAAUAUCACAUUUAGGAAGAUGAAAUUUUGG